GACGAACGCUGGCGGCGUGCUUAACACAUGCAAGUCGAACGGAAAGGCCCUGCUUUUGUGGGGUGCUCGAGUGGCGAACGGGUGAGUAACACGUGAGUAACCUGCCCUUGACUUUGGGAUAACUUCAGGAAACUGGGGCUAAUACCGGAUAGGAGCUCCUGCUGCAUGGUGGGGGUUGGAAAGUUUCGGCGGUUGGGGAUGGACUCGCGGCUUAUCAGCUUGUUGGUGGGGUAGUGGCUUACCAAGGCUUUGACGGGUAGCCGGCCUGAGAGGGUGACCGGCCACAUUGGGACUGAGAUACGGCCCAGACUCCUACGGGAGGCAGCAGUGGGGAAUAUUGCACAAUGGGCGGAAGCCUGAUGCAGCAACGCCGCGUGCGGGAUGACGGCCUUCGGGUUGUAAACCGCUUUCGCCUGUGACGAAGCGUGAGUGACGGUAAUGGGUAAAGAAGCACCGGCUAACUACGUGCCAGCAGCCGCGGUGAUACGUAGGGUGCGAGCGUUGUCCGGAUUUAUUGGGCGUAAAGGGCUCGUAGGUGGUUGAUCGCGUCGGAAGUGUAAUCUUGGGGCUUAACCCUGAGCGUGCUUUCGAUACGGGUUGACUUGAGGAUGGUAGGGGAGAAUGGAAUUCCUGGUGGAGCGGUGGAAUGCGCAGAUAUCAGGAGGAACACCAGUGGCGAAGGCGGUUCUCUGGGCCUUUCCUGACGCUGAGGAGCGAAAGCGUGGGGAGCGAACAGGCUUAGAUACCCUGGUAGUCCACGCUGUAAACGGUGGGUACUAGGUGUGGGGUCCAUUCCACGGGUUCCGUGCCGUAGCUAACGCUUUAAGUACCCCGCCUGGGGAGUACGGCCGCAAGGCUAAAACUCAAAGGAAUUGACGGGGCCCCGCACAAGCGGCGGAGCAUGCGGAUUAAUUCGAUGCAACGCGUAGAACCUUACCUGGGUUUGACAUGGAUCGGGAGUGCUCAGAGAUGGGUGUGCCUCUUUUGGGGUCGGUUCACAGGUGGUGCAUGGCUGUCGUCAGCUCGUGUCGUGAGAUGUUGGGUUAAGUCCCGCAACGAGCGCAACCCUUGUUCACUGUUGCCAGCACGUUAUGGUGGGGACUCAGUGGAGACCGCCGGGGUCAACUCGGAGGAAGGUGGGGAUGACGUCAAGUCAUCAUGCCCCUUAUGUCCAGGGCUUCACGCAUGCUACAAUGGCUGGUACAGAGAGUGGCGAGCCUGUGAGGGUGAGCGAAUCUCGGAAAGCCGGUCUCAGUUCGGAUUGGGGUCUGCAACCCGACCUCAUGAAGUCGGAGUCGCUAGUAAUCGCAGAUCAGCAACGCUGCGGUGAAUACGUUCCCGGG
This 1343-nucleotide ribosomal RNA is filed under the name uncultured bacterium. Its description in RNAcentral is "16S ribosomal RNA". It matches the Rfam family "Bacterial small subunit ribosomal RNA", at positions 28 to 1378 of the family's 1533-position model. The record is from RNAcentral.